UUCCUUUUGUAAUUCAUAAGCAUGAUGAUUGGGUUUUCAUGUUCAUGUUAGUCAUGCCUUCCUGAAACCUUGUUAGGACACUAGCAUAUUACCAAUGUGAUG
Small nucleolar RNA from Callithrix jacchus (white-tufted-ear marmoset), 102 nucleotides. NCBI's taxonomy places the organism in Eukaryota, Metazoa, Chordata, Mammalia, Primates, Cebidae. The record is from Ensembl.